This 428-nucleotide ribosomal RNA is filed under the name uncultured bacterium. RNAcentral describes it as "bacterial SSU rRNA". It matches the Rfam family "Bacterial small subunit ribosomal RNA", at positions 355 to 776 of the family's 1533-position model. The record is from RNAcentral.
UGGGGAAUAUUGCGCAAUGGAGGCAACUCUGACGCAGCAACGCCGCGUGUGUGAAGAAGGCUUUCGGGUCGUAAAGCACUGUUGAGUAGGAAGAGAAGGGAGCGGUUAAUACCCGUUCCCCCGACGGUACUAUUCGAGGAAGCACCGGCUAACUCCGUGCCAGCAGCCGCGGUAAUACGGAGGGUGCAAGCGUUGUUCGGAAUUAUUGGGCGUAAAGGGCGCGUAGGCGGGUUUUUAAGUCUGGUGUGAAAUCCCUCGGCUCAACCGAGGACGUGCAUUGGAUACUGAAAACCUUGAGUCCUGGAGAGGAAAGCGGAAUUCCCAGUGUAGAGGUGAAAUUCGUAGAUAUUGGGAGGAACACCGGUGGCGAAGGCGGCUUUCUGGACAGUGACUGACGCUGAGGCGCGAAAGCGUGGGUAGCAAACAGG